Molecule: long non-coding RNA, 1867 nt
Filed under: Anthonomus grandis grandis
Lineage: Eukaryota; Metazoa; Arthropoda; Insecta; Coleoptera; Curculionidae
Description: uncharacterized LOC126743133
Source: RNAcentral
UAAUUUAGUAAAAACCGCAUUUUGAUAUCACGUCUCUAACUAAAGUUACAAAAAAAAAUGUGUUCAUUAGAAAGUGAAAACAUCAAAUAUGGUCGUUAAGUUCUAUUUACCAGCCGGGUUAAAACAACUGGUGUCUAAAUUAAACUGAGUUUUGUGUAGAGAAGCAAUCUUGGUAUACCAGCUUUUUAGAAAUUCCGGAAGGUGGCGUUUAUUUAUACACUGCUUUAUAAAGGAGUUUCAGCGGGAAUAAAUUUAUUCAGUAUGGGAAAACUAUGCAUAGGAACGUUUUAAAUUUUUGGACAACGUAGCAACAAAUAAUACCACAUGAUGUGCUAAAAUAAGUUAAAAGAAUAAUAUUGAAAAAAAUACAGCAACAUAUUAGUUGUGUUCAUAAAGAAACUAAAAAUUAAAGUUUAUAUAAGUCUAUCGGUUAGCAGUUUAUUCGAGUAUAAAUAAAUAGGUAAUGAAAUUAUGCCAAUUUUAAUAAUAAGUUGGCUUUGCAUUUGUUUAAAAAACAAAAAGGCCGGUGACAACUCUGUGACAGCUGCUUAAAAGUUUUCGGUGGUCCUAUAAAUUUAGUUAUUUAUUUCGAUCAGAGUUUAUUCUUUGACUUUAAUUUAAAUUUAAAUUUAAAUGCGUCUGUCUUUGCAAGAGUCGGUAAAUUUUUUAUGAAUGUUUUGUAAAUGCUACUAUAGCUGCAAGGCUGUAUGCUCAACGUUUUCCUCAAAACCGGCGUCUGAGUAGAGGCAUAUUUCUUCGUUUGGCCCGUGGUUUUCGGACAACAGGUAGUGUAGUCUAUCCAACCUAUCGUAGACAAGGUCGCAAGAGAACGGAGGAAAAUAUAAUAAAUUGUUUGGCCUAUGUAGAAUUUGAUCCGCACUUAAGCAUCAGAACUAUUUCAGGCGAUUUAGGCAUACCUCGUUCUGUAGUUCACAGAAUUUUAAAGGAACACAGAUUUCAUCCAAUCCAUAUAGUACUCCACCAGGUAUUAAAUCUAGAAGACUAUGACAGAAGACUAGAUUAUUGUCAUUGGAUGGAUAUUCUCCAUCAGUUGCUCGAAAAUCCAAAUUUUCUCAACGAAAUUUUAUGGACAGACGGAGUGACGUUCAAUAGUGACGGAAGAGUUAACAGACAUAAAAUGCACUAUUGGUCUGAAACUUCGUUGGAUGCGCGAGAUCCAGCAUCAGGGAAGGUAGAGUGUUAAUGUCUGGUGCGGUGUAAUAGGAUCUCAGGUUACAGGUCCAUUUUUAUUUGAUGAGAGCCUAACUGGAGAACAAUAUCUUGGAUUUUUAAGAAAUGAGCUCCCAGCAUUAUUAGAAGAGGUGCCUCUGGUGAUAAGAGCCAACAUGUUUUUACAACAUGACGGAUGCCCGGCUCAUUUCGCGGUACAAGUGCGAACGUUCCUUAAUCAGCGGUACCCUGAUCGGUAGAUUGGCAGAGGUAGCUUUUUCCCUUGGCCGGCAAGAUCGCCAGAUUUAACCUGCCUUGACUUUUAUUUAUGGGGUAGAAUAAAAGCCAUUGUAUUUUCUUCGAUUCCUACCAAUAGACAGCGAAUAAGGGGCGCUAUUCGGAGUUUACCUGCCGCAGAAAUAGAGACAACCGUGGAAUCAACCCGACGAAGAGUUCAAAAUUGUAUAGAACAAGACGGACGACAAUUCGAACACCUCGGCAGGCAUUAGUUUAGUGUAGGAAUUAAAAUAAUAUUAUUUUUUAUUCCAUUUAAAAUAAGCAAGAUUUUUAUCUUUUUUCAGUUUAAUCGGUACCAAGUGCCAAAACUAUCAAAAUAUUUUUGUCGUGUUACAAUGACGCGUCGACGUUGAUAAAUAUUUAAAAUGUUCUCUUUUUAAAAUAUAUUAAAAUGUUUAUA